RNAcentral lists this ribosomal RNA (300 nucleotides) under Triticum aestivum (bread wheat). RNAcentral describes it as "partial small subunit ribosomal RNA". Lineage: Eukaryota; Viridiplantae; Streptophyta; Magnoliopsida; Poales; Poaceae. The record is from RNAcentral.
AUGGUUGCAGAUUGUUCUUUAGCCCAGGCCAUGUGGGCAGUGACUAGCUCCCCAUGGUUGUUAUCUGUACUCUUGAUCCCUGUGCUCUCUAGGUCUUCUGUGAGUGUGGGUUGGCAAGAUAUAAUAGUUAGGAGUUUGGGCCCAAACCGCUCUGUACAUGGAGUCAGGUCAGAUUCUUGUAGACAGUCUGUUUGUUUAAUUUGUUAUGGUCUCUACAAUUUAGCUUGCAGGACUGGAUCUCGAUCUGGUCUGGAAAUGAAGCUUCAUAUGGUGUGUGAACAUAUGGUGAAGGGUACUUGA